CCUACGGGUGGCAGCAGUGAGGAAUAUUGCGCAAUGGGCGAAAGCCUGACGCAGCGACGCCGCGUGGAGGAUGAAGGUCUUCGGAUUGUAAACUCCUGUUAAGAGGGAAGAAAACUUAAGCUCUAACAUAGCUUAAGCAUGACGGUACCUCUAGAGAAAGCACUGGCUAACUUCGUGCCAGCAGCCGCGGUAAUACGAGGGGUGCAAACGUUAUUCGGAUUUACUGGGCGUAAAGGGUGUGUAGACGGUAUAGUAAGUUCGUUGUUAAAUCUUUCGGCCUAACUGAAAGCUCGCGAUGAAAACUAUUAUACUUGAGAAUGGAAGAGAGAAGUGGAAUUCUUGGAGUAGCGGUAAAAUGCGUAGAUCUCAAGAGGAACACCGAUGGCGAAGGCAGCUUCUUGGUCCAUUUCUGACGUUGAGACACGAAAGCGUGGGGAGCA
RNAcentral lists this ribosomal RNA (440 nucleotides) under uncultured bacterium. Its description in RNAcentral is "bacterial SSU rRNA". It matches the Rfam family "Bacterial small subunit ribosomal RNA", at positions 338 to 770 of the family's 1533-position model. The record is from RNAcentral.